Molecule: ribosomal RNA, 119 nt
Organism: Saimiri boliviensis boliviensis (Bolivian squirrel monkey)
Lineage: Eukaryota; Metazoa; Chordata; Mammalia; Primates; Cebidae
Source: Ensembl
AUCUAAAGCCAUACCACCCUGAACGUGCGCCAUCAUCUCCUCUGAUCUCAGAAGCUAAGCAGGGUCAGGUUGGUUAGUACUUGGAUGGGAGACUGUGCAUAAGACAUUGGCCUCGGCCG